UGGGGAAUCUUGCACAAUGGGGGAAACCCUGAUGCAGCGACGCCGCGUGAGCGAUGAAGGCUUUCGAAUCGUAAAGCUCUGUCCUAUGGGAAGAUAAUGACGGUACCAUGGGAGGAAGCCCCGGCUAACUACGUGCCAGCAGCCGCGGUAAUACGUAGGGGGCGAGCGUUGUCCGGAAUUACUGGGCGUAAAGGGUUCGCAGGCGGCAUGGCAAGUCCGAUGUAAAAGGCGAAGGCUCAACCUUCGUAAGCAUCGGAAACUGUCAAGCUUGAGUGAAGGAGAGGCAGGUGGAAGUCCUAGUGGAGCGGUGGAAUGCGGAGAUAUUAGGGGGAAUACCGGUGGCGAAGGCGACUUGCUGGACUUCAAAUGACGCUGGGGAACGAAAGCGUGGGUAGCAAACAGG
RNAcentral lists this ribosomal RNA (403 nucleotides) under Fusobacteriota bacterium. Its description in RNAcentral is "Fusobacteria bacterium partial 16S ribosomal RNA". It matches the Rfam family "Bacterial small subunit ribosomal RNA", at positions 355 to 776 of the family's 1533-position model. Lineage: Bacteria; Fusobacteriati; Fusobacteriota. The record is from RNAcentral.